UACGAAGGGGGCUAGCGUUGCUCGGAAUCACUGGGCGUAAAGCGCACGUAGGCGGAUUGUUAAGUCAGGGGUGAAAUCCUGGAGCUCAACUCCAGAACUGCCUUUGAUACUGGCGAUCUUGAGUCCGGGAGAGGUGAGUGGAACUCCGAGUGUAGAGGUGAAAUUCGUAGAUAUUCGGAAGAACGCCAGUGGCGAAGGCGGCUCACUGGCCCGGUACUGACGCUGAGGUGCGAAAGCGUGGGGAGCAAACAGG
RNAcentral lists this ribosomal RNA (253 nucleotides) under uncultured bacterium. Its description in RNAcentral is "partial 16S ribosomal RNA". It matches the Rfam family "Bacterial small subunit ribosomal RNA", at positions 524 to 776 of the family's 1533-position model. The record is from RNAcentral.